RNAcentral lists this ribosomal RNA (459 nucleotides) under uncultured bacterium. RNAcentral's name for it is "partial 16S ribosomal RNA". It matches the Rfam family "Bacterial small subunit ribosomal RNA", at positions 338 to 795 of the family's 1533-position model. The record is from RNAcentral.
CCUACGGGAGGCAGCAGUGAGGAAUAUUGGUCAAUGGGCGGGAGCCUGAACCAGCCAAGCCGCGUGAGGGAAGAAGGUACAGCGUAUCGUAAACCUCUUUUGUCAGGGAACAAAGGCGGGGACUAGUCCCCGGAUGCGGGUACCUGAAGAAAAAGCAUCGGCUAACUCCGUGCCAGCAGCCGCGGUAAUACGGAGGAUGCGAGCGUUAUCCGGAUUUAGGGGGGUUAAAGGGUGCGCAGGCGGCCUGUUAAGUCAGCGGUAAAGGCCCGGGGCUCAACCCCGGCGAGCCGUUGAAACUGGAGGGCUGGAGUUGGAGAGAGGUACGCGGAAUGCGCGGUGUAGCGGUGAAAUGCUUAGAUAUCGCGCAGAACCCCGAUUGCGAAGGCAGCGUACCGGCUCCACACUGACGCUGAGGCACGAAAGCGUGGGUAGCGAACAGGAUUAGAUACCCGUGUAGUC